GACGAACCGAGCGAACGUUGUUCGGAAUCACUGGGCCUAAAGGGCGCGUAGGCGGGUGCUCAAGUCCGGGGUGAAAUCCCACAGCUCAACUGUGGAACUGCCUCGGAUACUGGGUGCCUCGAGGGUGGUAGGGGUAUGCGGAACUAUCGGUGGAGCGGUGAAAUGCGUUGAUAUCGAUAGGAACUCCGGUGGCGAAGGCGGCAUACUGGACCACAUCUGACGCUGAGGCGCGAAAGCCAGGGGAGCAAACGGG
RNAcentral lists this ribosomal RNA (253 nucleotides) under uncultured bacterium. Its description in RNAcentral is "partial 16S ribosomal RNA". It matches the Rfam family "Bacterial small subunit ribosomal RNA", at positions 524 to 776 of the family's 1533-position model. The record is from RNAcentral.